Molecule: ribosomal RNA, 401 nt
Filed under: uncultured bacterium
Lineage: Bacteria
Description: bacterial SSU rRNA
Rfam family: Bacterial small subunit ribosomal RNA
Source: RNAcentral
UGGGGAAUAUUGGACAAUGGGCGCAAGCCUGAUCCAGCAAUUCCGCGUGGGUGAAGAAGGUCUUCGGAUUGUAAAGCCCUUUCGACAGGGACGAUGAUGACGGUACCUGUAGAAGAAGCCCCGGCUAACUUCGUGCCAGCAGCCGCGGUAAUACGAAGGGGGCUAGCGUUGCUCGGAAUUACUGGGCGUAAAGGGCGCGUAGGCGGCGCAUUUAGUCAGGCGUGAAAUUCUUGGGCUUAACCUGGGGACUGCGCUUGAUACGGGCGUGCUUGAGGACGGAAGAGGCUCGCGGAAUUCCCAGUGUAGAGGUGAAAUUCGUAGAUAUUGGGAAGAACACCGGUGGCGAAGGCGGCGAGCUGGUCCGUAUCUGACGCUGAGGCGCGACAGCGUGGGGAGCAAAC